GAAAAAUGGAAUGAAGCCUAUAUGGUCCGAAAUAUAUUUGUAUUGACAUGUAUAUUGCAUCAGAUGUCUCGUUAGGCUUUUUAUCUCUAAGGAGUAUCUGUUCCCCUUUCCCUUCGGGGUAUCUGUUUCUCCCUCCCUUAUUUUUCUUGGAAAGACGUAAGAGGACCACUCUCGGUAGAUAACGACGUACCCUCUGACGAGAGUGGUAUCGCACUAUCUGCAGGGGUCACCCAUUGCUAAGUAAUGUCGCAACUAUAGAUAUCUGCUAGGGCCACUAUGGCUGUACGACCAUGGUCAUAGAUCGUACCAUGGUUUGGCCAGUCAAAAAUGGGUCUGAGCAAAUUGUCGUAUCUGUAUCUAAUUUGGUCAUUCCACUUGAAUAGUUAAAAAUCUGUAUCUUUCCUU
This 405-nucleotide long non-coding RNA is filed under the name Carica papaya (papaya). Its description in RNAcentral is "long non-coding RNA (CPAP_LNC002984)". Lineage: Eukaryota; Viridiplantae; Streptophyta; Magnoliopsida; Brassicales; Caricaceae. The record is from RNAcentral.